Molecule: ribosomal RNA, 644 nt
Filed under: Rhodoferax sp.
Lineage: Bacteria; Pseudomonadati; Pseudomonadota; Betaproteobacteria; Burkholderiales; Comamonadaceae
Description: partial 23S ribosomal RNA
Rfam family: Bacterial large subunit ribosomal RNA
Source: RNAcentral
GUUAUAGGGUCAAGUGAAUAAGAGCAUGUGGUGGAUGCCUUGGCAAUGAUAGGCGACGAAGGACGUGAUAGCCUGCGAUAAGCUUCGGGGAGCUGGCAAAUUAGCUUUGAUCCGGAGAUUUCCGAAUGGGGAAACCCACCGAAAGGUAUCGCAUACUGAAUACAUAGGUAUGCGAGGCGAACCGGGUGAACUGAAACAUCUCAGUAGCUCGAGGAAAAGACAUCAACCGAGAUUCCGAAAGUAGUGGCGAGCGAAAUCGGAGAAGCCUGCAAGUGAUAGCACAAGACUUAACAGAACAACUUGGAAAGGUUGGCCAUAGCGGGUGAUAGCCCCGUAUGUGAAAAGACCUGUGUGAUACUGAGCUUGCGACAAGUAGGGCGGGACACGUGUAAUCCUGUCUGAAUAUGGGGGGACCAUCCUCCAAGGCUAAAUACUCAUCAUUGACCGAUAGUGAACUAGUACCGUGAGGGAAAGGCGAAAAGAACCCCGGGAGGGGAGUGAAAUAGAUCCUGAAACCGCAUGCUUACAAAAAGUAGGAGCCUCGUAAGGGGUGACUGCGUACCUUUUGUAUAAUGGGUCAGCGACUUACAUUCAGUGGCAAGGUUAACCGAAUAGGGAAGCCGUAGAGAAAUCGAGUCCGAAUA